This 496-nucleotide ribosomal RNA is filed under the name uncultured bacterium. Its description in RNAcentral is "partial 16S ribosomal RNA". It matches the Rfam family "Bacterial small subunit ribosomal RNA", at positions 28 to 506 of the family's 1533-position model. The record is from RNAcentral.
GAUGAACGCUGGCGGCGUGCCUAAUACAUGCAAGUCGAGCGAACGGACGAGAAGCGUGCUUCUCUGAUGUUAGCGGCGGACGGGUGAGUAACACGUGGAUAACCUACCUAUAAGACUGGGAUAACUUCGGGAAACCGGAGCUAAUACCGGAUAAUAUUUUGAACCGCAUGGUUCAAAAGUGAAAGACGGUCUUGCUGUCACUUAUAGAUGGAUCCGCGCUGCAUUAGCUAGUUGGUAAGGUAACGGCUUACCAAGGCAACGAUGCAUAGCCGACCUGAGAGGGUGAUCGGCCACCCUGGAACUGAGACACGGUCCAGACUCCUACGGGAGGCAGCAGUAGGGAAUCUUCCGCAAUGGGCGAAAGCCUGACGGAGCAACGCCGCGUGAGUGAUGAAGGUCUUCGGAUCGUAAAACUCUGUUAUUAGGGAAGAACAUAUGUGUAAGUAACUGCGCACAUCUUGACGGUACCUAAUCAGAAAGCCACGGCUAACUACGU